UUUAAUCAUCUCUAUAUGAGCAUACAAAUAUUGAUUUAUCUUCUUGAGAGUCAAUACUAUUUCUUUCAUUUCUAUACUCUCAUCAAUCUAUCAUUGAUAUACUAAAGUAAGGUAAAUUGACUAGAAAUGCAUGUUUGGACUAUAAGUCAAACAGAAACUCAAGCCCAUCAGAAUUCAAAUUCGCAAGUCCAAAAAUAACCCAUUUGUCAUUCUUCACCAACAUAAUUUUAACAUAAUUUCAAACCCAUUUGGCUCUUAUCCAAAACCAUUUUGAUCCUCUCUUAUAUUUAUGUACUGUGAACUGUGUAGUCAAAGACCUCAAGAUUGUUCUAAAGGCUCUUUAAAUAUCCUUGUAAUCGUUUUAUGAAAGAUAAGUUGAAAGUAAUAAAAGUUCAAAAGUUUGUCUUCUUCGUUAUACUCACAUGGUAUUAGAGUCAUUCUAACUUUCACAUGUGCUUUAAUGGAAGAUCUUUUAAAUCUUGAUCAUUUCCUGAGCAAUGUUCAUGUCUUGAGCUAUGUCACGUUGAAACUCAACAAACAAUUACUUGGUCUGAAAACUCAGUUCAAAUCCUUAUUGUCUAGUCUGAAGCUGCUGGGUUUUGUAAAUGGAGCUAUUGCACCACCACCGACGACACACACUAUUGUUCUAGAAACCGUAAAUGUCGAUGAAAAGAACCCUCAGUUGGAGUAGUGGUUUUGUACUGAUCACCUAGUGUGCUCAUGAAUAUUUGGAACUCUGUCCGAGGAAGUAUUGGGUUCUGUUCACACACUAUUCACCUCCCGCAAAGUCUGAAUUUCACUAGCUAACAACUUCAACAAAAUCUUCCUUGCUAGAGAAUACUCUUUUCGACAAAGCUUGCAUUUGUUAACAAAAAAAAUACAAGACUUAGCUGUCUAUUGUCGUAGCUGUCUAUUGUCGACACUUCAAGACAAUAUGUGAUUCUUUAGGUUCUAUUACAAACCAUUGAUGAAUCUAUGAUUUUUUUUGGUUUUCAAAAAGGUCUCAGCAGAAUAUGAUCUCAUCACCACUACCAUUUAAAUUUUCCACACAAAGUUCUCGACUCAAACAUUUAACGAUGUGAUCUCUGAAGUUCAAAGGUUUGAUGGCAAGCUACAAUCAUACGAGGAAAAGACUACAGUCAAAUCUGAUAUGGCAUUCUCUACUAAAAAAAAUAGAGUAUAAUAAAGAGUACAAACCAGCUGGUCCUGCUUAUAACCCAAUCUACCGUGGAAGACGUUGUUAUGGUUCUUACCGAGGAAUAGGAGACUAUUCUUGAGGGGGGUCAUGGCUUUUCUCAACAUCCGACCACUAGCAACACUCAAGGAGAAAGAGUAACUUGUCAAACAUGUGGUAGGACUGGUCAUACAACCAUCAAAUGCUACAACAAAUAUGAAAAUAAUUAACUAUCACACUAUUGAAGACUUUUCUUCCUCUAUGCGUGUGCCUGAUGAAAAGGAAUAGUAUCCAGACUCAUGAGCCACGGCUCACAUUACUUCUUCCACGAGCAAUCUUUAAGGUGUCCAUCCAUUUGAAGGUAAUGAUGCUGUCAUGGUCCGAGUUGGUUCUUAUCUUCCUACCCUAUUACACAUGUUGGUUCAACCACUAUUUCAUCUAAUCUAUGUACAAAAAUAUAUGUUAUCAGUCUCUAAACUUUGUGAGAAUUAUCCAUGCAGUGUAUUUAUAUGCUAAUCAUUAAUAUCUUAUUGAUCUAAUUAAGGAGAAACUGGUGUCAAAGGGUCCUCCAAAUAAUGGAUUAUAUAUGUUGAAAAAUCGGAAGUUUUCAGUCUAUUUCUCAGAUCGUCAUGUUGCAACAUUAAAAGCUAUAUGGCCUCUCAGACUUGGUCACUCCAACUGUAAGGUUCUUCACAACUUAAAUCAAGCAAGGAAAUUAAGGUCAAUAUGAGCAUAUCAGUCCCCAUGUAUGAGUCUUUCUAGAUGGAAAAAAGUAGUAGAUUACAGUUUUUUUCAGUCUCUUUCUCAUGUUUCUCAACCCCUAAAACAGAUUCAUUGUGAUCUAUGGUGACUUUCUCCCAUUAUAUCCAAUAAAUGUUUUUAGUCUUAUGCAAUUUUAUGGAUGAUUAUACUCGGUACAAGAGUAAAUUAGUUUCAGUCAGAUGGAUGAGGAUAAUUUAUAAACAAUCUAAAGAAUCAUUUUCUUAUGGAGAAUGGUAUUAAAAUCAAAUAUAUUGCCCUACACACCCAACAUAAAGGAUUCACAGAGAGAAAGCAAAUACACUUCAUUGAGCUUGGUCUCUCCACGAAAUAUAGAUUAUACACAUGGAUUCUAGUUCCUCCCAGUAAUGACAUGAACAUCUUGAGAAGUAUAUGGUUGUUUAGUACAAAGCUCAGGCUAGAUGGAACUGUUGACAAACUCAAACCUUGGCUAGUCACCAAGGGUUUUGAACAAGAGGUGGGUCUUGACUAUCUGGAAAACAUUCAGUCAAGUUGUUAGAACUGCUACAAUUCGAUUAAUGUUUAAUAUUUCUACAACUAAGAACUGGCCAAUUAAGCAACUUGAUGUUACAAAUACAUUUCUUCAUGGAGACCUACAAUACAUAUAAAUUUUACUGAUCAAUAGAGGCCAUAUUAUGUCUGCAAGCUCACCAAGGCUACAUACUAUCUGAAACAGGUUCCCCGAACAUGGGUUGAUACAUUUAGUAACUUCUUGGUAGAUUUGUGUUUGCUUGCAGAAAUUCAUAUCCUUCAUUAUUCACCUGUCACAUAAACAACAAAACAAUAGUCUUUCGGCAUACUACUUACAAGAAGUGAUACCUCAAUCUUACAAGCUCUGGUUAAGUCUCUAUCACAACCUUUAUCAAUGAAGGAUAUGAGAUUUCCAAAUUACUUUUGGGUAUAGAGAUGGAGACUCAUUAAGGGAGAAUUUUUUCUUCAAGGUCGUAUACUCAUGACAUACUAUAUCAAGCUGCAAUGACUGACUGCAGUCCUCUGCCACAACGCAUUAGAACACUUGAUCCAAGUCUCUUCAUGGAGCCUACUUAUUUUUCAGAGUUUGGCUAGUAAGCUUCAGUAUCUCAUUAUCACCUUACUAAACAUCCAAUAUGCAAUCAUUUUUGCAUGUCAGAAAAUGCAUUCACCAACUAUGUCAAAUUUGGGUUACUCAAAAUGCAUUCUCCGGUAUUUGAAAGGGACGUUGAAUCUUGAUUUGCAUAUUAGAAAAGAUACUACUCUGUCUAUAUUGACCAAUUGCAACAGCAACUAGACAUGCUGUCAAGACACUAGAUGGUCUACUACUGAUUUGUGUACCUUCAUAGGCUAUACUGUAAUCUCCUAGUUUGCUAAACGCCAAUAAACAGUUUCCCAUUCAUCCACCAAUACUGAAAACAAAGCGCUGGCAUCUACGGCUCACGAGAUAACCUAGAUGUCACUAUUACUUUGUGAUUUGGACAUUCCUCAACCACAUGCGCAGUGGCGGAUCUAGAAAUUAUUUAAGGUGAGGCAAAUUUAUCGAUAAGUAACACAAUAAAGGAAAAAUAGUAGGGGCAAAUUUAUCUUUUAAUAUGGGGAAAAUAAUUAUUAGUCUAAGGAAAUAACAUUAAAUUAUUUUUUAUUGGGGGGAAAAUGCCCCCAUGCUACCCUACGUGCCUCCGCCACUGCACAUGCCACUAUGCUCUAAUGUAUAGAUGUAAAUUUGGAACCUGAACCGAAGGCUUGGCCUGUAAAGGACUGCUGCAGGGUGGAUUUUGUUUGGCAUUUCGUAGACCCAAAAAGACCGGGCCUCGCGAGUAAGUGUCAUGCGGUAUUGGGUUUUCGGCGGGAUGAGCCUCACUUGGACCCACAGGAUAGUAAAGACCCGCUUCACCUGAAGAUUCUUUUACAUUUUCACCUGAAAAAACGAGAGAAAGAGAGAGAGCGACGAUGUUGAUUUGGCUUCGAUCUUCACCAAUAACCUAUGGAGCUCCAGUGACGGUGGUUCGAUGUUCGACGAAGCUUCCGGUCUCUCAUGUGUAUUUGAUCUGAGUCUUCUUUCGGUCAUCCCUUCGUAUUCGAUCUGCAGAAGAGCAGCUUCAACGACAACUCAGAUGAACUUUAUCGACUGUUUCUUAACCAACAACCUCCAAUGAAGAUUCCACUUCAGAUGCCGAUCUCUAAGAUCUUCUUCUUCUUCUUCUUCUUUUCUUGUAUAUAUUUGUCUUUUUGUUAGUGGCUUGCAUUACCUUGAUUACUUUCACAUGAAAUAAUUGCUCAACUUGAUAGAGAAUAUCAAGGAACUCAAAAACCUUCAAAAACUUUGAAGAGGGCGGGAUUGGGCAUGCCCUAACGUAACCGUGGUACAAAAACGGGACAACGCACAGAGACCCGCUGCAGAACGUGAUGGGCCGGGACGGGCCAAUCUGUUUCCAUCUCUACUCCUAUGCUAGGGAUCCUAUGUGACAAUCUCUCAGAUGUCUACUUGAGUACAAACCCUCCCUUACACAAGAGAUCUAAACCCUUUGAUACUGAUUAUUAUUACAUUAGAGAACAAGUAGCUUUGGGUUUGAUUGAGACGAAGCACAUAGCUAUAAGUUGCAGCAAUCUUUACUGAAUCCCUACCAAGAAAGGCUUUAGUUUAUUUUGUGACAAAUUUUGUGUCGAAGCUUCUCUCAUCACCUAUGUAGCACGGGGACGCCUAUUUAGGUGCCGUACCGGUACCGGAAACGUUUGGGGGACGGGUACUUCACGGGGACAACACUGGUACGGCUUGGGAACGGUUAGAGAACAUAGCUAUGAGUAAGACUAGUUUUCACGGGACUUAAUGCUUGUUCAAUUGUUUUUUAACUGUCACUGUUAUCUUGCUUCUAAUUUUAGUUGGCAAAAUAGACAUAUAAUAGUAAAUUAUAACUAAUUAUGUUAGAUUCACUAUAUAAAUUUAUUUUUUUUAUAAAUAUUUUAUAUUUUUUACUAGUA
Brassica napus (rape) is the source of this 4906-nucleotide long non-coding RNA. RefSeq lists it as uncharacterized. The record is from RefSeq and is a predicted model, not a curated record. NCBI's taxonomy places the organism in Eukaryota, Viridiplantae, Streptophyta, Magnoliopsida, Brassicales, Brassicaceae. The transcript has 3 exons.